This 710-nucleotide long non-coding RNA is filed under the name Mytilus galloprovincialis (Mediterranean mussel). Lineage: Eukaryota; Metazoa; Mollusca; Bivalvia; Mytilida; Mytilidae. The record is from RNAcentral.
AUGGCCAUGUACUGGAAAGAGUAUCAGACGCAAAAUAUCUUGGAGUUACAAUCAGCUCAGAUUUAAAUUGGAGUACCCAUGUACAUAACAUCUGCCAAAAAGCAAAUAAAACUAUUGGGUUCUUAAAAAGAAAUCUUAACAUCAGUAACAAACAACUAAAAGAAAAUGCAUACAAGUCAUUAGUCAGACCAACACUAGAAUAUGCAAGCGCAGUCUGGGACCCCCAUCAACAAAACAACAAGAAAAAAAUUGAGAUGGUACAACGCAGAGGGGCUAGGUAUGUUACCAACAAAUACCGUAACACAUCAUCAGUAGACGCCAUGAUAAAACAACUCGAGUGGCAACAAUUAGAAGAGAGAAGAACAACAACAAGGAUGUGCAUGAUGUACAAAAUUACUAACUGCCUAGUUAAUAUAGAUGCAACAUCUAGGCUCAUUCCAACAAGCCGAGCAUCAAGAACAACUAGGACUGGAUGUUUCCAGGUUCCUCUUUGCAGAACGGAUAUAAGGAAAAUGUCAUUCUAUCCAAAAUCUAUACGGGAAUGGAAUGCCUUACCACUUUCAACUACCACCGCUCCGAGUCUUGAAUGCUUCAAGGCUCGGCUAACAAAAUAGACCUAAACACUUGUUUUUAAUGAGCACCUGUAUAUAGGAUUUUAACUUUCACAAAAUGUAAAUAUAUUAAAUUUUCUUUGGACUUUCAUGCGCAAC